CAGCCUGAUGCAGCCAUGCCGCGUGUGUGAAGAAGGCCUUCGGGUUGUAAAGCACUUUCAGUCAGGAGGAAAGGUUAGUAGUUAAUACCUGCUAGCUGUGACGUUACUGACAGAAGAAGCACCGGCUAACUCCGUGCCAGCAGCCGCGGUAAUACGGAGGGUGCGAGCGUUAAUCGGAAUUACUGGGCGUAAAGCGUACGCAGGCGGUUUGUUAAGCGAGAUGUGAAAGCCCCGGGCUCAACCUGGGAACUGCAUUUCGAACUGGCAAACUAGAGUGUGAUAGAGGGUGGUAGAAUUUCAGGUGUAGCGGUGAAAUGCGUAGAGAUCUGAAGGAAUACCGAUGGCGAAGGCAGCCACCUGGGUCAACACUGACGCUCAUGUACGAAAGCGUGGGGAGCAAACAGGAUUAGAUACCCUGGUAGUCCACGCCGUAAACGAUGUCUACUAGAAGCUCGGAGCCUCGGCUCUGUUUUUCAAAGCUAACGCAUUAAGUAGACCGCCUGGGGAGUACGGCCGCAAGGUUAAAACUCAAAUG
Molecule: ribosomal RNA, 535 nt
Filed under: Pseudoalteromonas sp.
Lineage: Bacteria; Pseudomonadati; Pseudomonadota; Gammaproteobacteria; Alteromonadales; Pseudoalteromonadaceae
Description: bacterial SSU rRNA
Rfam family: Bacterial small subunit ribosomal RNA
Source: RNAcentral